Molecule: long non-coding RNA, 799 nt
Organism: Gorilla gorilla gorilla (western lowland gorilla)
Lineage: Eukaryota; Metazoa; Chordata; Mammalia; Primates; Hominidae
Exons: 3
Source: RefSeq, a predicted model, not a curated record
UAUAAAUGAUCAAGAUUGUGACUGGCAUAUACAGUGGAAAAGGAAGAAGGGCAAGCGUUUUACUAUACGAUCACAUAUGGGUCAUACACCCCUUUUACUACCUAUAUGCCCAUCCUACCACCUCUAAGACAUAAAGUUCCAUAGCCAGAGAUACGGGACUGGUGAAAUGAAGAUGGCUUAUGAUGAAACCUGCUGUCUUCUUAAAAUUGCAACCACUGCACCUUUUCUGGAAGCCAGAUCAAGUUUCAAACUUGCAGCACCAAUGAGGCAUUUGAAGAUGAUUCGCUUAGCCUCAGUGAAAGUCUAGAGAGCCUAGCAUCACAGUCCCAAUUCAGCACCCCAAUCUCUGACUUACAAUUACCUCUGGAUCUCAAGGAAGAUUUAUGUAUAUAUGUUUCCUUUUACCUAUUUCUGUGUCUUAUAGGUUGAAUGUUAUGUAUGCAGAUGGAUUUGAGGAUUACAGAGUAUUUUAAAAGUCUAAAAUGUAAUGAAAGGAUUCUUACAUUUUAACAUCAGAAUAUCAGAAUCUAUUGAAUACUCAUAAUGUUCCUAACACUGGAUAGAGCAUUGAAAUGGAGGGUGGAGAAGGAUGGUGUACAAUAGAGAUAACUGUAUAUGAGGGAUUAAAUUUGAAACCAAGAAACAAUUUGAGGAGUUUAAUAAACUAUAUUGAGGCCGGGUGCGGUGGCUCAUACCUGUAAUCCCAGCACUUUGGGAGGCUGAGGUGGGUGGAUCACCUGAGGUCAGGAGUUCAAGACCAGCCUGACCAACAUGGUGAAACCCUCUCUACAAAAAUACA